UUGAUCUGUUGACUUUCUGCUUUGUUGGUGGCUGAGCGAUCUUAAUAUAGAUCCCUGUGUUUCGUUAUUCUCUUCUUCUCUAUUUGAUUCUUUGGGAUUUGCUUGCGUUUUGCUUAUCUAAAAAUAGAUCGAUAUUGUAUGCCCUUCUUUUUCCUUAUUUUUUUUUGUAUCUAACGGUGAUUAUUAUUUUUGUUAGGUGCUGUUUAUUUGGGUUUAGGUUAUCUGAGUAGCUGGUUGUUUCUUUUGGCACAAUGUCGAAAGAUUUGGAGUCACACGCCAGGAUGUGAAUGCUGACCCGAUGUAUACAUUGGGAAAGCCCAAACUGAUGAUAUCUAUAGCUUCUGUUAAAUUCUCUAGCAUGAGAGAAUUCUGGUGAUAAGAAGUUUUGAUGGUUCUCUAAAGGUCUGGGACUUGGGUCAGAUGAAAGAAACUCUAAAGGUGUUUGAGGGUCUCUUUAAUAAGACAGUACAAUGGCAGACUUGCUCGAGAUUGUUUAAAAAAGUCAGAAUAUUUCCUGCUUCAGGGUGCAAUGUGAUUGGCACUCGAGGUUGAAUCAGAUAAACAACAACAAUAAUAUAAACAAUAUUUUCUUCUUCUAAAAUCUAAU
Molecule: long non-coding RNA, 607 nt
Organism: Eutrema salsugineum
Lineage: Eukaryota; Viridiplantae; Streptophyta; Magnoliopsida; Brassicales; Brassicaceae
Exons: 3
Source: RefSeq, a predicted model, not a curated record